GGGUCAGUAGGUUGGUCGUGCCACCGGUACGUACUGGUCUCACUGAUUCCUCCUUCCUGAAGAACCGUAAUGCCAUUAAUUUGGUGUUGCGGGGAAACAGGACUGUUACUUUGAAAAAAUUAGAGUGUUUAAAGCAAGCUAACGCUUGAAUACGUUAGCAUGAAAUAAUGAAAUAGGACGAUCGAUCCUAUUUUGUUGGUUUCUAGGAUUGACGUA
RNAcentral lists this ribosomal RNA (216 nucleotides) under Glomeromycotina sp. Its description in RNAcentral is "partial small subunit ribosomal RNA". The stretch from base 40 to 216 matches the Rfam family "Eukaryotic small subunit ribosomal RNA", at positions 686 to 864 of the family's 1831-position model. Lineage: Eukaryota; Fungi; Glomeromycota. The record is from RNAcentral.